GACGGUCGCUGGCGGCGUGCUUAACACAUGCAAGUCGAACGGAAAGGCCCUGCUUUUGUGGGGUGCUCGAGUGGCGAACGGGUGAGUAACACGUGAGUAACCUGCCCUUGACUUUGGGAUAACUUCAGGAAACUGGGGCUAAUACCGGAUAGGAGCUCCUGCUGCAUGGUGGGGGUUGGAAAGUUUCGGCGGUUGGGGAUGGACUCGCGGCUUAUCAGCUUGUUGGUGGGGUAGUGGCUUACCAAGGCUUUGACGGGUAGCCGGCCUGAGAGGGUGACCGGCCACAUUGGGACUGAGAUACGGCCCAGACUCCUACGGGAGGCAGCAGUGGGGAAUAUUGCACAAUGGGCGGAAGCCUGAUGCAGCAACGCCGCGUGCGGGAUGACGGCCUUCGGGUUGUAAACCGCUUUCGCCUGUGACGAAGCGUGAGUGACGGUAAUGGGUAAAGAAGCACCGGCUAACUACGUG
RNAcentral lists this ribosomal RNA (468 nucleotides) under uncultured bacterium. Its description in RNAcentral is "partial 16S ribosomal RNA". It matches the Rfam family "Bacterial small subunit ribosomal RNA", at positions 28 to 507 of the family's 1533-position model. The record is from RNAcentral.